Molecule: ribosomal RNA, 490 nt
Filed under: uncultured bacterium
Lineage: Bacteria
Description: partial 16S ribosomal RNA
Rfam family: Bacterial small subunit ribosomal RNA
Source: RNAcentral
AUUGAACGCUGGCGGCAGGCCUAACACAUGCAAGUCGAACGGUAACAGGAAGAAGCUUGCUUCUUUGCUGACGAGUGGCGGGCGGGUGAGUAAUGUCUGGGAAACUGCCUGAUGGAGGGGGAUCACUACUGGAAACGGUAGCUCAUACCGCAUAACGUCGCAAGACCAAAGAGGGGGACCUUCGGGCCUCUUGCCAUCGGAUGUGCCCAGAUGGGAUUAGCUAGUAGGUGGGGUAACGGCUCACCUAGGCGACGAUCCCUAGCUGGUCUGAGAGGAUGACCAGCCACACUGGAACUGAGACACGGUCCAGACUCCUACGGGAGGCAGCAGUGGGGAAUAUUGCACAAUGGGCGAAAGCCUGAUGCAGCAAUGCCGCGUGUAUGAAGAAGGCCUUCGGGUUGUAAAGUACUUUCGGCGGGGAGGAAGGGAGUAAAGUUAAUACCGUUGCUCAUUGACGUUACCCGCAGAAGAAGCACCGGCUAACUCCGUG